AGCUGGGCCAAAAGGAGGAAAGCACAUUUAACAGCCCCUUUGUGUGGACUCUGGUUCCAGAAGCACUUCUGGGAAAGCUGCUGGGAAGAUGGUGGACAUCCAGACCAAGUAUGCUUCCACAAAGCAGUUCAUAAUCUUUUGAAAGAAGAAAUGAAUGGGUUCUACCAGGAGAAACUGACAAAGGAGAAGCUCCUUAUGUACUACAAGAAUGGUGGAUGUUCAGAUUGGCUACCUUCUCACCCUGGGAGAGUGUAGGCCCCUGGACAAGACAGUAUGCUUUAAUGUGCUCAAGGUCAUAAGAAGCAGUUCCAGAAGUUCUGAAGCAUGCAGGACUGUCAGGAGUCAGCUCAUGUAAUUCCAGAACGUCUCAAGUACAAGACAGCUCUGUUGCCUAAAAACAGAGGAAGGAGUUACUCCUAUAAUAAUUCCAUUACCAUUCCAGCCACCAUUGACUGAACCUGAGAGUUCAACCUCAGAAUCAAUUGGAGAGGAGAAAAAAACCCCACCAAGUUCAAGAACUCUUAAAAUUCUCCAGAGCCCUUCCUGUUCUCUUCACCUCCAAAUGCAGCAUUCAGGGUAAUUAAAUGGGUUGUUUGCGAAUGUUGGUCAUUCCUUACAAACCAUGGGUGUGGGACUUUUGGAGAAGCAUGCUAAUCAACAAGGCUAUACAUGGAACAAAGUGAUUUGCUCUGGAUCUCCAUAGAGAAUAGGCAUAGACUGACCAAAGAAAGAAAGUUUUGUGUUUCCCUAUUUCCUUAUUUGUAGGCAUGCAAUGCAUAUUCUCUAUGUAGUUGGUUCACUAUUCAAAUAAAUAACGACAAAACUUAAUACUCAUU
RNAcentral lists this long non-coding RNA (836 nucleotides) under Rattus norvegicus (Norway rat). RNAcentral's name for it is "long non-coding RNA NONRATT022060". Lineage: Eukaryota; Metazoa; Chordata; Mammalia; Rodentia; Muridae. The record is from RNAcentral.